CCAAAGGCAAGACAGAAAGACAGAUAGAAAUUGGUUCUCUGGAAUUACUGAGAGGGUCGACCCAAGAAGAAGUUGAGUCGACCCAAGUGGACUUUGAGUCGACCCAAAGAAUGGUUGGGUCGACCCAUGGGAAGGAAGGCUGAAAUUGAAGUUUCUGUGGUUUCUGAGAGGGUCGACCCAAGGAAUGUUUGAGUCGACCCAAGGCAAAGUUGGGUCGACCCAAGGACAGGUUGAGCCGACCCAAACACGGGCUGAACAGUAACGGCUAGUUCUGCAACUGUACUUUUUGUCCUUCCCAAGGUGAGUAAUGGCUAGUUUUUCAAAUCUAACCAUUGGGACUUGUCCUAAGAAGGUGGGAAGCUAUUUAAAGGGGCACUAUUCAUCAGAGAGAAUAACUUUUGAGUUGAAUAUCAAAGAGUACCCAAGAAUACAAAAGUGCCCUAAUCUUCUUCAUCAAGAGCUUCAUUCAAGAAUCAAAGAAAGGAAUUGAGCAGAUUCAAAGAGGCAUCAAGAGCU
RNAcentral lists this long non-coding RNA (516 nucleotides) under Phoenix dactylifera (date palm). RNAcentral's name for it is "long non-coding RNA (PDAC_LNC022742)". Lineage: Eukaryota; Viridiplantae; Streptophyta; Magnoliopsida; Arecales; Arecaceae. The record is from RNAcentral.